This is a long non-coding RNA of Camelus dromedarius (Arabian camel), 3094 nucleotides long. RefSeq lists it as uncharacterized. NCBI's taxonomy places the organism in Eukaryota, Metazoa, Chordata, Mammalia, Artiodactyla, Camelidae. The transcript has 2 exons. The record is from RefSeq and is a predicted model, not a curated record.
GGGGCUGGGCGCGGCCCCGACGCAGCGCCUGGUGCGCAGUAGGCGUUCAGUACCCAAAAAGGCGACAGGAACAGGCUGGCAGGAAUUCAGUCCUCGGGGGCUCAGACCCCAGGUGGAAGCUGACGAGCCCGCGUUCGUUCGGAAAGGACUGCGCGCCUCGGGUUCUAAGCCCUGGGAUACAAGCGGUGAAGAAAGCCCACGUGUCUGCACCGUUUCAGUGGAAACUGCUGAUAAGCCGGGCGAGUGUAGCUCCGUGACCAUGGGCAUCACACUUCAGCCCCUUCCAAGCCUGUGGCCGCCCUUCCCUGAGAUGCCAGUAACAGCAGCACCGGCUGAGGGUGCAACCAGAGGUACAGGCGCCCGGGCCACGUGGAGUGCAGUAAUGGCGGCAGCUUUUCAUGGAUCCACCAGACAUUAAGGCCCUUCUACGUCCUAAACACUACUUUCUAGGCAAUGGGAAUGCAGCCAUGACCCCAAACUAACAGCCCCCACUUGCCCAGAGUCCCCGAGGGGAGGAGGCUGACUUGGGGCCCAAGGUUGUCCAGGCAGAGGCCAUGGGCUGUUUUCUGACAGCCACUGGGAGACCAAAGGUGGUCCAAGAAUGACAGGGGCAAACAAGAAAAGGAACUAACCAACGCAAAAGGGUGGAGCUGGUUUUAUUUAACAGUCUCAUUACAAAAAUAACCAGAAUGUGUGCAGCAGCAAAAUCAGGAAGGAUCCUGCCUGACUUCUGUAAGAGCAGGUGGUCCCGCUUACCCAUAGCCCUGCAGGGGCAGUCAGCGCAGGAAGCUUCCAGGCGAGGUAGCAGGCAGAGCUCUGUGUAGGAGGCCUGGUCUUGGCUAGUUUUGUCUGCUCUGAGCACUACCUCCCCUCACCCUGGUAAACAGCUCAGGUCGGGCCUCCCAACACUAGGCAUCCUUCCUGCCCCACUGUUAGGUGCCCAACAGGACAAACUGUCCUGGAAACUUCCCUCUACCCAGCCAGCCAGAAGACAGCAAAUAAGAGGUGAUGACUGAAGGAAGGAUGGGCCAGCAGCCCAGAAUGGCUGGGGGAACACUCCUAGGUGGGCUGUCCCUGGGCUGACAGGGCCAUAGUGGCUCCCCCAGGGGGAAUGAAGGCUGAAGGGAGUUGAGGCUGUGGGGGCCCAGAGGGGGGCACUGGAUUUCAUUCCGAAGGUCCAGGGGCCCAGGGAGAGGAGCCCUGGGAGGCUCAGGUGUGCUCUGUGGGGCCGGGGCCGCCGGUGUGGGAGUGGGCAGGGGCUGCUGCCUGCAGGGGGCCGGCACUGGGCUCCGGGGAUGCCAGCAGAGGGGCUGAGAGGCCAUCAGCAGGGUCUGUGUCGAGGUCCAGCCUCCAGUAAGCUUCGCAUAGAGGCAGAUCAUUAGCUUCGCAAAGACUUGAGCUUUUCCACCACCAGAAACCCAGGGAGAGACAGGAGCAGGCAGGAUGGAAGCCAGGGGAAGGAAAGCGAGAUAGAAGCAGAGUUAAGAAACAGACCACACCCCGGACCGCCCUCUCCUCUGUACUGGCCCCUCCAACAAGCAGGCCUGGCUGAGGGGCAGGCACGUGUGGGCUGCCCCUGCUUCAGGGUCCCCCAGGGAUUCCUAAAAGGAGUCUACUGGGACCAGCCACCAGCAGGCUGUGUGAUCUCGGCAGGUCCCUUCCACUAACCAACCCGUGUCCUUUCUGCCACAUGGCCUUCCUAGCCCCCGCUGUCACUUCCUAUCCUGGCUCCAGCUGCCUUCCUCCUCCAGCCUGGCCACAUACUCUGUUCACAGCUGCAGGAACCAGUGUCCAGAGCUUGCUAGAGUCCUUCCCUGAUCCUAAUGCUUCGCAAGCCCCCUGAGGGUACAGACCCUGUCUUCCUUCUGGGUCUGCCCCUGGCUGGGCCUCAGCCUAAACUGGGCAGCAAUUAGAAGCGGAGGCCCUGGCAUUCUGUCUCGCACCACUGACCAGCUGUGCGACCUCAAACAGGCCCCUUGAACUCAGUCUCCCAUCUCUAGUACAGGCACAGCCAGGCCGGCCUCUCGGGGCUGCGAGAAGACUUGGGAUGUAGAUGCAGGUGAAGAGCAUGGCUCUGGAAGGUGGUCAAGAGGGUGCACAGAGCACGGUCCUGUCCCUGCAGUCGUCUUGCUGGCUGUCUCCCGAAUCCUGCCCUGCCCCUCGCUUCCUCCCGCGUUCCUGCCCUCAGUGUUUAGUCUCCGAAACCAUCCUGAACACAGAGCAGUGUCCCAAGGAGAGUGGAGGGUGAGAGGAAGAAAAAGAGCAAAUCGAGAGCAGAAAGCAGAGCAGAGAGUGUGGAGAUGGGUGUGUGGGCAACGGGGAAGCACCUGGAGUGCUGGCGGCUCGGGGGGCUGGGGCACACGCAACCCGUGUUGGGGGAUAAGCCAGGGGAGGUGAAGACACAGCCCGCUGGUCCUGACGCAGCUGAGCCCCAGCCACUGACAUACAUUUACAGAUGAGGGACGAACUCAGCCUCCGGAGGUACCAGGAAUAGUGGGAGGGGCUCCCAGGCCAGACCAGAAACCAUCCAGGUGAACCAGAGACUGAUAGACCAGGAGCCAGGAUGUGGGAGGCCCAGCUCUCAGGACCCCAGGGUUUCACUGUGGGCCUGGCCCUUGGGGCAGCAGAGGGACAAACACAGGGACAUAAGGGAUUCUGGGAUUCUGCAAAACCAAGCGGGGCUGUGAGCAAUGUCCCAGCAAAGUUUGAGUCCCCGUGAGACCCGCUCUGGACCCUCUCUGAAGGCCUGGUGUGUAGGCAGUGCUCGCUGCGUGUCUGCUGAGCCGAUGGGAUCAGGGACGAGACGUGGCCCCACCCUCCAGAAAGGUCUAAACCGCUCUAGCUGGGCAGUGAGACUCUCCCUUCCCACAGAGGCUAGGAUGGGCAGGGACCCUGAAGGGCGCACUGAGUCCAGUGCAGGGAAGCCAAGCCUCAGACCAAAGGUGUGCUGGCUCUGGGUGUCUGCGGCCCCAGCAUGGCCUCCACAGGACAGAGAGGAGCACUGAAAAUCCAUGACAGAAAAAAAAAAAUUGUGCAGCGAGGGCGAGAGGGAGCAUGGACUUUGUGUCUGCUGAGACCUCCCAGUUUCCAGCCU